AGUGAACGCUGGCGGUAGGCCUAACACAUGCAAGUCGAACGGCAGCACAGUAAGAGCUUGCUCUUACGGGUGGCGAGUGGCGGACGGGUGAGGAAUACAUCGGAAUCUACUUUUUCGUGGGGGAUAACGUAGGGAAACUUACGCUAAUACAGCAUACGACCUACGGGUGAAAGCAGGGGAUCUUCGGACCUUGCGCGAUUGGAUGCGCCGAUGUCGGAUUAGCUAGUUGGCGGGGUAAAGUCCCAGCAAUGCGACGAUACGUAGCUGGUCUGAGUGGGUGGUCAGCCCGGCUUGAACUGGUACACGGUCCAGACGCCUACGAGAGGCAGCAGUGAGGAAUAUUGGACGAAGGACGGAAGCCUAAUCCAGCCAUAGCGCGUGGGUGAAGAAGGCCCUCGGGGUGUAAAACCCUGUUGUCGGGGAAGAAAAGCAGCAGGUUAAGACCCCGCGGUUCUGACGGUGCCCUAAGAAUAAACACCGGCGAACUUCGUG
Molecule: ribosomal RNA, 492 nt
Filed under: uncultured bacterium
Lineage: Bacteria
Description: partial 16S ribosomal RNA
Rfam family: Bacterial small subunit ribosomal RNA
Source: RNAcentral